Molecule: long non-coding RNA, 1410 nt
Filed under: Cairina moschata (Muscovy duck)
Lineage: Eukaryota; Metazoa; Chordata; Aves; Anseriformes; Anatidae
Description: domestica (muscovy Duck (domestic type)) lncRNA (ENSCMMG00000015222.1)
Source: RNAcentral
GUGUUUUGGGGGGGGUCCCGGUGCGCCCCCCCCGCGGCCGUUACCGGUCAGGGGCAGCAGCAGGAGGAGCGCCAGGAGCGCAGCCAUGCCGCUGACGUCACGCCGCGCCCCGCCCACCGCCGGUGACGUCACGCAGGUGCGCGCCACGCCACGCCCCCCCCACCCAUGCCGCCCAGGUGAGCGGCGCGAGGCCCCGCCCACUGCCCGCGAGGCCCCGCCCGGUUUCUGCGAAGCCACGCCCACUCGCGCUCUGGCCCCGCCCCCGGCCUCUGGCGGUAUAACCACGCCCACUUGGUGUUUUGACCACGCCCACUGGGGGGGGGGCACCCAAGCCCCGAGGCAUUUUUGGGCUGAAAACCUGAGGAAAAGGCCAACGGUGCCAGGUGGGAGACGCCGAUUUCGGAAGAGCACGAUGCCAAAAAAACGAGAAACCGACCCAAAACGGCGCGGACGGGGCAGCCGCGGCGCUAUUUACACUUUAUUACACCUCGAAAAACCGCGGAUUCGGUUAAAGCUCUGCAAAAAGAUGCUGAUUUGGGGCUUUCUGUUGUAAAAAGACGGGGUUUUACAAAAAAGCGCGGGUUUUGUACAGGCGGAGGGCACGGGGCGUCGCGAGCACUGAAAACGCCACUUUACAGCUCAGAAUUUACCUUUUUUACCCUUUUUGGCUCCAGAUUGACCUUUUUGAGGCUUUUUGGCUGGAAAUUUACGUUUUUUGAUGCUUAUUGAGGGGGGAUUUUUCGUGGUUGGGGCCAUUUUUGCCCCAAAAUGCUCCUGCAGGUGGAACAGACAUGAGGGAAACGCGGGCGAGACGAAUAAUUUAAUGCCAAGAAUGCAAAUUUUGGGGUGGUUUUGGGGCUUUUCUUCCUUUUUUUUCAGGGAGGGGGCCAGACGCGGAAGUGGCCGGCAGGCAGCCGAACGCUGCCUCCCCAAAACAGCCUAAAAAGGGAUUUUCUUAAAAAAAAAAAAACCACCCCAAACCACACAGUGACGGCCCCCUCCCCAUGAUUACAAAAGCGACCUCAAUUUUAUUUUUUUUUGGCCUUUUUUUUGUGUUUUUGUUAUUUUCCCCCCAUUUUUUCCCCGCGGACGCUUACAAAAGGCUAUGGUACAAAAGCUCUGUGCAAAAAAUCCGGCACUGGCGGCCGCUCCCCGAGUUUAUUUCAUGUAAUUCCCAGGUUCUUGUUGAAGUUUUGGGGUGGUUUUUGCUCUUUUUUCCGUUUUUCAGGAGGAUUUCCCCCCAAAAAAGCCAAAGCGGCCGCCGCAUCCCGGGGGGGCCACGCGGGGUUAUGUACAGGGCAGUGCGGAGAAAGCCGGCGGUAAAUGGUUAAAAUAAGGGAAAAUGAACAAAAAAAAGGGGAAAGUGAACCAAAAAAAGGGAAGGUGAACAUAAAAAAAGGAAAAAAAAAA